AUGACAAUAUUAGAAAAUGUAAAAAAUGAAAAUAUAAGAAAUGAAGUUUUUAUGCUACUAAAAAAACAUAACAAACAUUUCUUAAAAAAUAUAUUAGUUUUACAAUAUUAUAGAAAUAUGUUAAUAUAUUAUAAUAAUUUUAAAAAUUAUAAUGAAUAUUCGUUAAAAAAUUGUAUAUUAAAUACGCCAAGUAAGGUUAACUAUUUUUUGCGUAAUUUUUUGAAAUCUAUUCUUCCAUACUUUUGGAAUGAACUGCAGUUUAUAGAAAGAUAUAUUGACGUGUCUACUAAUCAGUUAGUCGCAUCAUCUGUAUGUCCAAAUCACCUAGAACAGACGUUUGUUAAAGGACGUACUAACACAGGAUUCAGUAGUGGUGGAGAGCAGAACAAUACGAAAGAAAAAGACAAAGAUUAUAUUAUCAAACAAAAUGGUAAUACGAAUGCUUUAUCUAAAGUAACUCCUGCUAAUAUAUUUUAUUAUAUGAAUGAAAUAAAAAAAAAGAACAAACUUAAAAAGAUAGAAUCAUAUAUGAAUCAUAAUUUAACUUUAUAUGAUAUGAUUCAAUUUGUUAUAACUCUAUUAAAAAUUACAUAUUCUUUAGAUAUGAUUUAUGUUAAACCAUUGAAAAAUGAAAUAUGGAAUGAAUAUAUUUUAAAAUUUGAAAUAAAAAGUAACAAAUAUACUUAUGGUUAUAUAUAUAUGGACUUAUUCGAGAGAGAGAAUAAAAGUCAAGCUAUUGCUCAAUACACAGUUAGAUGCUCGAAAAAUAUGAACAUGAGUUUGAAAUAUAAAUGGUUUGAAGAAUAUUUUCAUAUGGUUCCUUUUUUUUACUCGGGUGUUGUAAAAACUGAAAUAGAUAAAGAUAUAAAUUCAGAUGGAUUAAUAUAUAGAAACGAUUUCGACACAAAUAAUACGAACAAGAUAGAUGGGGAAAAAGAUACGUUAUAUAGACAGACUACUUCGACAUUUUUGGUAUGCAAUUUUGGGUUAAAUGGGUGUAUAAGUAAUUGCGACAGUGGUAGUGGUGGUGGUGGUGGUAGUGACAAUGGAAGUAGCAAUGACGUAUUCCCAAAUGAUAAAAUAACAUACUUUUUAAAAAAUAUAAAAAUGAGCAUUGAUAAGGUAAGCAUGUUUCUUCACGAAUUUGGCCAUACACUACACUGCAUAUUAAGUAGCACAUAUUUACAACACUUGUCAGGUAACAGAAGUGGAAUCGAUUUUUCAGAAUUCUCUUCGCACUUUUUCGAAGAGUACUUAAAUAGUUAUGAAGCAUUAUUGUUGUUGUAUUGCAAGAGCAUACCACAUGAGCAAUCACAUAAGAAGUCGGAUAAUAACCCGCAUAAUAACCCGCAUAAUAACCCGCACAAUAACCCGNNNNNNNNNNAA
RNAcentral lists this long non-coding RNA (1386 nucleotides) under Piliocolobus tephrosceles (Ugandan red Colobus). RNAcentral's name for it is "lncRNA (ENSPTEG00000002867.1)". Lineage: Eukaryota; Metazoa; Chordata; Mammalia; Primates; Cercopithecidae. The record is from RNAcentral.